CAGAGGAGUGUGCCCUUCCGAAAACUUGUGAACAAAUAAUGUCUCCAGAAGAUGUCUGAUGUAGUGUAAACAGUGACAGAAGCAGGCCAAGCUGCAAAAGAAAGGAAAAAAAGUAAAAUUAAGGUUCACCAGUGGAGCCACGCACGUGCCUCAGGUGUUGACAAGAUACCAAGAGCUUGCAGUGUCCUGCUGCAGCCCAGGAGCGGACCUCAUAAAACAACCAGUGAAGUUGUAGUUUCCAGUAUUGAUCAAGGAGAAGAUGGAUGCUGAGACCAGCUUACUAAUAAGAGUGUCCUCUUCGUAGACCAUUAAUUAUCUUUUGUUCUCUUCAUUGUACAUCAAUACAAGCACUUUACAAAUAUGCAAAGGCAAAGCAGUGAGAGACCACCCUUAGUUUGUUUAAAGCAGGAUGGAUUUCGGCUCUUAUUCGGUAUGUAUCUUCUACAAUCUGAUGGUCAAGCCCCCUUUUCCCUACAACUUCUUCACUUGUAGUCUAACACCUGAUUUAAAGUGUAGUCAGCUUUCCAGAAUUCAGAAAUUCUGCCACUCCAGUUGCUCAUUAACCACUGCCCCAUCUUCAGCCACAGUAAAUUUGUUCAAAAGGGUGACAUCAGUUUAUUGCAGCUGAGGAUCUGGCUGCAAGACAGCUAACC
Long non-coding RNA from Haemorhous mexicanus (house finch), 653 nucleotides. RefSeq lists it as uncharacterized. The transcript is spliced from 5 exons. The record is from RefSeq and is a predicted model, not a curated record. Lineage: Eukaryota; Metazoa; Chordata; Aves; Passeriformes; Fringillidae.